UUAUGGCCCAAAAGAGUAUAAUCAUUCUUAGACUUGAGAGGACAGGGGGAAACCUUAGAAGAAGUAGAAGCAGUUUAGGGAGGGUGGAGAACGAACUAAUCCCCUCCUCUUCCCACCCUAGUGCCCCCACGGAAGAGGCUUCCUGUUGCGGCCCUAAGUAUCUGGAUAUGGGCCAGGGAAGAAGGAAGGGAAAGAGCAAUGCCUCUGUGCUUCAAUCCUUGGCCUUCUCCUCACAGAGUUCUUUUAGGAAGAGCAAGCUUUUGUAAGUAGAGUGGCUCACAAGUGUUUUUAUUUUAUUUUCUGCUCCUCAAGAUCUUGUCUUGUUCCAGUAAUCACCCUUGCCUUCUUCCCUCUUUGUUGAGCCUGUGACAAUGUAGCCCUGCAAUUAGGGCCAAAUUUGUUGUGAAACCAGAGCGUUGAGCACGUUGUCUGGUUUUGACUUGUAUUAUAGAACCAGAAAGGCUAAAAAGUGAGCUUCAAACUCAGGAUUGUGCUUUGAUAGCCGGUUAAUAGACCAGCCGUGGGAAGGUUACAUUGGCUUGUCUUUACGUCUCCUGAUAAACCUACUUAUUUGCAGCCUAUACUUUGAGAUGAAAAACACCAAGAGAAAUGACAUCUGUAUAGUUCUGGGACAGCAAGAAUUCUACAUACUCAAUUUGGAUUCCAUUUCCUUCUGCCACUUGCUUUUAGGCAAUUGAGUGUGGGUAGUGACAAGAUAUCAAACCCCUUAGUGUUUCCUUUUUGGGAAAUGAGGCACUUUUUAAAAAACAAAAACUUAUCCACCUGAGUCCUGAAACAGUUGGUCUCUCCAGUUUUUUGGCCUCCACUCUAGUUAGCUCUGAUCCAAGUUUACAGGACAACAAGCCUUGCUUUAAGCCAUGUUCUGUUGUGGGCAAGAUAACAGCAGCUGAGCUGUCAUAGCCUGGGAGCAGGCUGGUCGCACCCCCAAGGUGUCUUGGCUGGAGGAGAUUUCUGAGCAGCUGAUGUGACUUUGGUCAUUAGGAAGCCUUUGAGGCCUUUUUAAAUUUUCGGUGGGGGGUCUGGGGGUGGGGAAGACACAUAAAAUGCCACUUUAUAACUUCAAUAAUAGCCUGUAAUUUAUAUUUAUUGUGUGAAUUUUUAGUCCUAUAUUUUAAUAAUUUGUAAAUUGAUCUCUUAUUCCAAGAAUCCUUUGAACUUGCCGGAGAACAUCUGGGAAUCCAGUCCCCUGUCCCCAUCCCUGCAUUCUGGACUGUUUAAUCCACUUUGGGAUGGAUCAAAGAGUCUAGAGAGACCACUCAUAGGUCCAGCUGCUGGCCUCCAGACUCUAAAGACUUCACUGGAAUUGGGACAUUAGCUCCAGCUCUAGCUGUGAACAUGACCAGAGACAUUAUUUAUAAUUCAGCCAUUUAAGAUAUACCUGUACUCAAAAAGUCCUGUAUAUUUUUUAAAAGUUUUAUUUUUCAGGUGAACAAAAAUACAUUCUAAGAACUCUACAUAA
RNAcentral lists this long non-coding RNA (1480 nucleotides) under Lynx pardinus (Iberian lynx). Lineage: Eukaryota; Metazoa; Chordata; Mammalia; Carnivora; Felidae. The record is from RNAcentral.